AGAGUUUGAUCAUGGCUCAGAACGAACGCUGGCGGCGCGUUUUAAGCAUGCAAGUCGAACGGUAGCAGGGCUUCGGCCUUGUGAGAGUGGCGAACGGGUGAGUAACACGUAGGUGAUCUACCCUUGGAUUGGGGAUAGCCCAUGGAAACAUGGGGUAAUACCGAAUACGACCUUAGGACUAUGGUUCUUAGGGGAAAGGCGCUAAGGCGCCGUCCGGGGAUGAGCCUGCGCUCCAUUAGCUAGUUGGUGAGGUAAGAGCCCACCAAGGCGACGAUGGAUAGCCGGCCUGAGAGGGUGACCGGCCACACUGGAACUGAGACACGGUCCAGACUCCUACGGGAGGCAGCAGCUAAGAAUCUUCCGCAAUGGGGGAAACCCUGACGGAGCGACGCCGCGUGGACGAUGAAGGCCGAAAGGUUGUAAAGUCCUUUUCUUGGAGAAGAAUAAGGGUAGGAGGGAAUGCCUACCUGAUGACAUUAGCCAAGGAAUAAGCCCCGGCUAAUUACGUGCCAGCAGCCGCGGUAAUACGUAAGGGGCGAGCGUUGUUCGGAUUUAUUGGGCGUAAAGGGCGCGCAGGCGGUUAUGCAAGUCUGGUGUGAAAUCCGCAGGCUCAACCUGCGAGAUGCGCUGGAAACUGUAUGACUUGAGUUAUGGAGGGGGAGCUGGAAUUCCAGGUGUAGGGGUGAAAUCUGUAGAUAUCUGGAAGAACACCGGUGGCGAAGGCGAGCUCCUGGCCAAUGACUGACGCUGAGGCGCGAAAGCGUGGGGAGCAAACAGGAUUAGAUACCCUAGUAGUCC
This 798-nucleotide ribosomal RNA is filed under the name uncultured bacterium. RNAcentral describes it as "bacterial SSU rRNA". It matches the Rfam family "Bacterial small subunit ribosomal RNA", at positions 8 to 796 of the family's 1533-position model. The record is from RNAcentral.